CUCUGUGACUCCUACGGGAGGCAGCAGUGGGAAUAUUGCACAAUGGGGGAAACCCUGAUGCAGCCAUGCCGCGUGUGUGAAGAAGGCCUUCGGGUUGUAAAGCACUUUCAGUAGGGAGGAAGGUAGUGUAGUUAACACCUGCAUUAUUUGACGUUACCUACAGAAGAAGCACCGGCUAACUCCGUGCCAGCAGCCGCGGUAAUACGGAGGGUGCGAGCGUUAAUCGGAAUUACUGGGCGUAAAGCGCAUGCAGGCGGCCUGUUAAGUCAGAUGUGAAAGCCCGGGGCUUAACCUCGGAAUUGCAUUUGAAACUGGCAGGCUAGAGUCUUGUAGAGGGGGUAGAAUUUCAGGUGUAGCGGUGAAAUGCGUAGAGAUCUGAAGGAAUACCAGUGGCGAAGGCGGCCCCCUGGACAAAGACUGACGCUCAGAUGCGAAAGCGUGGGGAGCAAACAGGAUUAGAUACCCUGGGAG
This 471-nucleotide ribosomal RNA is filed under the name uncultured bacterium. Its description in RNAcentral is "bacterial SSU rRNA". It matches the Rfam family "Bacterial small subunit ribosomal RNA", at positions 328 to 793 of the family's 1533-position model. The record is from RNAcentral.